RNAcentral lists this ribosomal RNA (253 nucleotides) under uncultured bacterium. RNAcentral describes it as "partial 16S ribosomal RNA". It matches the Rfam family "Bacterial small subunit ribosomal RNA", at positions 524 to 776 of the family's 1533-position model. The record is from RNAcentral.
UACGUAGGGGGCGAGCGUUAUCCGGAUCCACUGGGUGUAAAGGGAGCGUAGACGGCCAAGCAAGCCAGGGGUGAAAGCCCGGGGCCCAACCCCGGGACUGCCCUUGGAACUGCAUGGCUGGAGUGCGGGAGGGGCAGGCGGAAUUCCUGGUGUAGCGGUGAAAUGCGUAGAUAUCAGGAGGAACACCGGCGGCGAAGGCGGCCUGCUGGAUCGCGACUGACGUUGAGGCUCGAAAGCGUGGGGAGCGAACAGG